UUGAACGCUGGCGGCAGGCCUCACACAUGCAAGUCGAACGGUAACAGGAAGCAGCUUGCUGCUUCGCUGACGAGUGGCGGACGGGUGAGUAAUGUCUGGGAAGCUGCCUGAUGGAGGGGGAUAACUACUGGAAACGGUAGCUAAUACCGCAUAAUGUCGCAAGACCAAAGAGGGGGACCUUCGGGUCUCUUGCCAUCGGAUGUGCCCAGAUGGGAUUAGCUUGUUGGUGGGGGAACGGCUCACCAAGGCGACGAUGCAUAGCUGGUCUGAGAGGAUGACCGGCCACACUAGAACUGAGACAGGGUCCAGACUACUACGGGAGGCAGCAGUGGGGAAUAUUGCACAAUGGGCGCGAGCCUGAUGCAGCCAUGCCGCGUGUAUGAAGAAGGCCUUCGGGUUGUAAAGUACUUUCAGCGGGGAGGAAGGGAGUAAAGUUAAUACCUAUGCUCAUUGACGUUACCCGCAGAAGAAGCACCGGCUAACUCCGUG
Molecule: ribosomal RNA, 489 nt
Filed under: uncultured bacterium
Lineage: Bacteria
Description: partial 16S ribosomal RNA
Rfam family: Bacterial small subunit ribosomal RNA
Source: RNAcentral